RNAcentral lists this ribosomal RNA (301 nucleotides) under uncultured bacterium. Its description in RNAcentral is "partial 16S ribosomal RNA". It matches the Rfam family "Bacterial small subunit ribosomal RNA", at positions 509 to 807 of the family's 1533-position model. The record is from RNAcentral.
CAGCAGCCGCGGUAAUGCGUAGGGUGCAAGCGUUAAUCGGAAUUACUGGGCGUAAAGCGUGCGCAGGCGGCUUGUUAAGACAGAUGUGAAAUCCCCGGGCUCAACCUGGGAACUGCAUUUGUGACUGGCAAGCUAGAGUGUGGCAGAGGGGGGUGGAAUUCCGCGUGUAGCAGUGAAAUGCGCAGAUAUGCGGAGGAACACCGAUGGCGAAGGCAGCCCCCUGGGCCAACACUGACGCUCAUGCACGAAAGCGUGGGGAGCAAACAGGAUUAGAUACCCCGGUAGUCCCUGUCUCUUAUAC